This 497-nucleotide ribosomal RNA is filed under the name uncultured bacterium. Its description in RNAcentral is "partial 16S ribosomal RNA". It matches the Rfam family "Bacterial small subunit ribosomal RNA", at positions 28 to 507 of the family's 1533-position model. The record is from RNAcentral.
GAUGAACGCUGGCGGCGUGCCUAAUACAUGCAAGUCGAGCGAACAGACGAGGAGCUUGCUCCUCUGACGUUAGCGGCGGACGGGUGAGUAACACGUGGAUAACCUACCUAUAAGACUGGGAUAACUUCGGGAAACCGGCGCUAAUACCGGAUAAUAUCUUGAACCGCAUGGGUCAAUAGUGAAAGACGGUUUUGCUGUCACUUAUAGAUGGAUCCGCGCCGCAUUAGCUAGUUGGUAAGGUAACGGCUUACCAAGGCUACGAUGCGUAGCCGACCUGAGAGGGUGAUCGGCCACACUGGAACUGAGACACGGUCCAGACUCCUACGGGAGGCAGCAGUAGGGAAUCUUCCGCAAUGGGCGAAAGCCUGACGGAGCAACGCCGCGUGAGUGAUGAAGGUCUUCGGAUCGUAAAACUCUGUUAUUAGGGAAGAACAAAUGUGUAAGUAACUAUGCACGUCUUGACGGUACCUAAUCAGAAAGCCACGGCUAACUACGUG